Molecule: ribosomal RNA, 1515 nt
Filed under: uncultured Vibrio sp.
Lineage: Bacteria; Pseudomonadati; Pseudomonadota; Gammaproteobacteria; Vibrionales; Vibrionaceae
Description: bacterial SSU rRNA
Rfam family: Bacterial small subunit ribosomal RNA
Source: RNAcentral
GAGUUUGAUCCUGGCUCAGAUUGAACGCUGGCGGCAGGCCUAACACAUGCAAGUCGAGCGGAAACGAGUUAUCUGAACCUUCGGGGAACGAUAACGGCGUCGAGCGGCGGACGGGUGAGUAAUGCCUAGGAAAUUGCCCUGAUGUGGGGGAUAACCAUUGGAAACGAUGGCUAAUACCGCAUAACGCCUACGGGCCAAAGAGGGGGACCUUCGGGCCUCUCGCGUCAGGAUAUGCCUAGGUGGGAUUAGCUAGUUGGUGAGGUAAAGGCUCACCAAGGCGACGAUCCCUAGCUGGUCUGAGAGGAUGAUCAGCCACACUGGAACUGAGACACGGUCCAGACUCCUACGGGAGGCAGCAGUGGAGAAUAUUGCACAAUGGGCGCAAGCCUGAUGCAGCCAUGCCGCGUGUGUGAAGAAGGCCUUCGGGUUGUAAAGCACUUUCAGUCGUGAGGAAGGUAGUGUAGUUAAUAGCUGCAUUAUUUGACGUUAGCGACAGAAGAAGCACCGGCUAACUCCGUGCCAGCAGCCGCGGUAAUACGGAGGGUGCGAGCGUUAAUCGGAAUUACUGGGCGUAAAGCGCAUGCAGGUGGUUUGUUAAGUCAGAUGUGAAAGCCCGGGGCUCAACCUCGGAAUUGCAUUUGAAACUGGCAGACUAGAGUACUGUAGAGGGGGGUAGAAUUUCAGGUGUAGCGGUGAAAUGCGUAGAGAUCUGAAGGAAUACCGGUGGCGAAGGCGGCCCCCUGGACAGAUACUGACACUCAGAUGCGAAAGCGUGGGGAGCAAACAGGAUUAGAUACCCUGGUAGUCCACGCCGUAAACGAUGUCUACUUGGAGGUUGUGGCCUUGAGCCGUGGCUUUCGGAGCUAACGCGUUAAGUAGACCGCCUGGGGAGUACGGUCGCAAGAUUAAAACUCAAAUGAAUUGACGGGGGCCCGCACAAGCGGUGGAGCAUGUGGUUUAAUUCGAUGCAACGCGAAGAACCUUACCUACUCUUGGCAUCCAGAGAACUUUCCAGAGAUGGAUUGGAGCCUUCGGGAACUCUGAGACAGGUGCUGCAUGGCUGUCGUCAGCUCGUGUUGUGAGAUGUUGGGUUAAGUCCCGCAACGAGCGCAACCCCUAUCCUUAGUUGCCAGCGAUUCGGUCGGGAACUCUAAGGAGACUGCCGGUGAUAAACCGGAGGAAGGUGGGGACGACGUCAAGUCAUCAUGGCCCUUACGUGUAGGGCUACACACGUGCUACAAUGGCGCAUACAGAGUGCUGCGAACCUGCGAGGGUAAGCGAAUCACUUAAAGUGCGUCGUAGUCCGGAUUGGAGUCUGCAACUCGACUCCAUGAAGUCGGAAUCGCUAGUAAUCGUGGAUCAGAAUGCCACGGUGAAUACGUUCCCGGGCCUUGUACACACCGCCCGUCACACCAUGGGAGUGGGCUGCAAAAGAAGUAGGUAGUUUAACCUUCGGGAGGACGCUUACCACUUUGUGGUUCAUGACUGGGGUGAAGUCGUAACAAGGUAACCGUA